CCUACGGGUGGCAGCAGUGGGGAAUUUUGGACAAUGGGCGCAAGCCUGAUCCAGCUAUUCCGCGUGUGGGAUGACGGCCCUCGGGUUGUAAACCACUUUAGUAGAGAACGAAAAGGAGCUAUCGAAUAAAUAGCUCUGCUGACGGUACUCUAAGAAUAAGCACCGGCUAACUACGUGCCAGCAGCCGCGGUAAUACGGAGGGUGCGAGCGUUAUCCGGAUUUAUUGGGUUUAAAGGGUGCGCAGGCGGAGGUGCAAGUCAGCGGUCAAAUUGCGGGGCUCAACCCCGUACUGCCGUGGAAACUGCAUCCCUUGAGUGCGCGAGAGGUAUGCGGAAUGCGUGGUGUAGCGGUGAAAUGCAUAGAUAUCACGCAGAACUCCGAUUGCGAAGGCAGCAUACCGGCGCGCAACUGACGCUCAUGCACGAAAGCGUGGGUAUCGAACAGGAUUAGAUACCCUUGUAGUC
Molecule: ribosomal RNA, 464 nt
Filed under: uncultured bacterium
Lineage: Bacteria
Description: partial 16S ribosomal RNA
Rfam family: Bacterial small subunit ribosomal RNA
Source: RNAcentral